RNAcentral lists this ribosomal RNA (612 nucleotides) under Bacteroides sp. HGA0252. Its description in RNAcentral is "bacterial SSU rRNA". It matches the Rfam family "Bacterial small subunit ribosomal RNA", at positions 108 to 718 of the family's 1533-position model. The record is from RNAcentral. Lineage: Bacteria; Pseudomonadati; Bacteroidota; Bacteroidia; Bacteroidales; Bacteroidaceae.
GAGUAACACGUAUCCAACCUGCCGUCUACUCUUGGACAGCCUUCUGAAAGGAAGAUUAAUACAAGAUGGCAUCAUGAGUCCGCAUGUUCACAUGAUUAAAGGUAUUCCGGUAGACGAUGGGGAUGCGUUCCAUUAGAUAGUAGGCGGGGUAACGGCCCACCUAGUCUUCGAUGGAUAGGGGUUCUGAGAGGAAGGUCCCCCACAUUGGAACUGAGACACGGUCCAAACUCCUACGGGAGGCAGCAGUGAGGAAUAUUGGUCAAUGGGCGAGAGCCUGAACCAGCCAAGUAGCGUGAAGGAUGACUGCCCUAUGGGUUGUAAACUUCUUUUAUAAAGGAAUAAAGUCGGGUAUGGAUACCCGUUUGCAUGUACUUUAUGAAUAAGGAUCGGCUAACUCCGUGCCAGCAGCCGCGGUAAUACGGAGGAUCCGAGCGUUAUCCGGAUUUAUUGGGUUUAAAGGGAGCGUAGAUGGAUGUUUAAGUCAGUUGUGAAAGUUUGCGGCUCAACCGUAAAAUUGCAGUUGAUACUGGAUAUCUUGAGUGCAGUUGAGGCAGGCGGAAUUCGUGGUGUAGCGGUGAAAUGCUUAGAUAUCACGAAGAACUCCGAUUGCGA